Silurus meridionalis is the source of this 2067-nucleotide long non-coding RNA. RefSeq lists it as uncharacterized. The transcript has 3 exons. The record is from RefSeq and is a predicted model, not a curated record. NCBI's taxonomy places the organism in Eukaryota, Metazoa, Chordata, Actinopteri, Siluriformes, Siluridae.
UGGUUAUUUUUUAUUUGUAUUAUUUUCAAUAUUGUGCAUUAAUACAUUCAGGAAGACAUGUAAAGUAUGAAAGAACACAUAUGGAAUUAUGUAAGAAACAAAAACAUACAACAUAUGUACUGGGUUAUUUAAAAUUUAAAUUUUUGAUUGCUUUAAGUACAUUUUGCUUUGAUGACAGCUUUGCACACUGAUAUUUUCUCAGUCAGCCUCAUAAUGUAGUCAGCUGAAAUGAUUUUCCAACACUUUUGAGGAGUUCCCAGAGGUGUUGAGUGCUUGUUGGCUGCUUUUUCUUUAAAAUCCACUCCAAAUUAAAACAAAUCAUCUCAACUAGAUUUUGAGCAGGUUAUUGUGGAGGCCUUCCUCAGUCUUCCUCUUAAACAAAUAGCUCUUACAUAACCUAGACGGGGCAUUGUCCUGUUGGAAAACAAAUGAUGUUUCCAAUAAGUGCAAACCAGAUGGGAUGUUGUGUCGCUGCAACAUGCUGAGCUAGCCAUGUUGGUUAAGUGUCCCCUUAAUUUUGUCUGAAUCACCAACAGUGUCACCAGCAAAACAAACAAACAAACAAACAAACAAACAAACAAACAAACAAACAAACACAGUGUAUAAAAAGGCGCAAAGCUGAAAUAGAGAUGAACACUCGUUCCACUAGAGGGCAGUAGAGCUCUUCAGCCCAGCAGUCUCUCAAUGCAUGUUGAUGCAGUAUAUUUUUGCUCACACCGCUAGAUGGCGGAAUAAUACCGGUUUUCAUUGUGCUGUGCAGAAACCAUAUCGGUCUAAUAAUUAGCUUAUGUUAGCGCGAGACUUCUGUUUUAACAACACGCGCAUCAAGCAAAUUCACGCUUAAUCGAUUUUUACAGCACCUACUCCGCAAUGUUUUAGUCGCGAGACUCGGGAGAAAGACAGCUCGUAUGUGAGUCCGCCAUAAGGCUAUAAAAGCGGUGCUGCACUGACCCCGGGCCGCUGCUGCUGCUGCUGCAUCACGCUCACUGCAUUGUCACAGAUCCUCGCGUGCUCGCUCUCUGUAUGGAGGGUUUAUAAUUUUUCAGUCACGUUUAUGUCUCAUGCAUGGAACUGGUUUGAAGAGAGAGAACGCUGCAUGGUGGUGGUGUUAGACCUGGAGCGGCUCUGCAGCUGUGAAGCGGCUCUCAGUCGGACACCGGCGAGCUGCGCGCGCUCACUCUGACAUCCAAUGAAGGAAUGAUGAUAUCCGCGCGCGAGACUGGAGAGCUUCUGGCAAUGCGCUGUAACCCCGCGCGGCCACGGCGCCACGGGAACGCGCGCGGGCUUCGGCUUCUUAUAACAGCUGGUGUAAAACAUGAUAAAGAACAGACAUCCUCUUCUACAGGAUAAAAAGGGGCCAUUCUUCAACCUCGACACGUAGCUUCAUGCUAGAAAAACUUGAGGCGAUCACUUUAAGAAGGUCCAAGUGCAUGGUUGAGCACCUUAACAUACUCGAAGAAAAAGGCUAAGUGCUCAGCUCUUCCACAUGACCAAGUUGCCCCACGAGUGGUUGGUAUAUCGGCUAGUAGCAGGAAAGAAAGUGACUCGGCCAUCCUUUUUCUCCAUCAAGAACAUGGAUGUAUGUGUUGUAGAGGACCUUCACCCUCACACCGGUACAUGUAGAGCAGAGAGUACUUUUUGAGGACCCAUUUACUGCUCUUACAGAUCACACAGUUAUGGCAGCUGUAGAAACUUUAGGACACCUGGUGGAGAAGAAUUAUGUUUCUGAAUGCAAUUAGCAACAAACCUUCAAGAAAAAAAUAACUAGUGAAGUUGAUAGUUUGAGCGAGAAUCGCUCCAUUAAAGCUAUUCACUAUUUCUUUAAUGCAAAUGAAUUUACCGUGUUACCUGUAACUGGUUUGAUUAUAUUGCAACUCUUACCAUAGAAAUGAAUACAACACCUUCAUAAGCUUUCUGGAUCUCAGCUUUUUUUCUGCUCUUAAAAAAAAGGUUUUCUGAUGUCUCAUACUGGGUGAAUUGAAGUAAUAUAAAAAUAAAUACACAACUUUUUGCUUAUGACAUAUAUUAACAUUUGAGAAAUAUUAAAUGUAACCACAUUUCUCUGGA